UAAGCGUUGUUCGGAAUUACUGGGCGUAAAGAGCGCGCAGGCGGUCGUUCAAGUCGCGUGUGAAAGCCCCCGGCUCAACUGGGGAGGGUCACUCGAUACUGAUCGACUCGAAGGCAGAAGAGGGAAGCGGAAUUCCCGGUGUAGUGGUGAAAUGCGUAGAUAUCGGGAGGAACACCAGUGGCGAAGGCGGCUUUCUGGUCUGCUCUUGACGCUGAGGCGCGAAAGCUAGGGUAGCAAACGGG
Molecule: ribosomal RNA, 242 nt
Filed under: uncultured bacterium
Lineage: Bacteria
Description: partial 16S ribosomal RNA
Rfam family: Bacterial small subunit ribosomal RNA
Source: RNAcentral